ACCCUCCUGCCCCUGGGCGCGGCCCCUCUCGCGUCUUCGCUGGACACUGCCUGCUGGUGUCCUGCACGCCGUGUGGAGCGAAGGGCGCUGUGGGCCGGUUUCCGUCGCCUUUCGCCUCGGUGACGCCCUGAGGCCACCGUCGUACAGUGCCGUGAGGGCAGGUGUGAGGGACGGACCCAGCCGCACAGUGCGCCGGCACCUGCUCUCUGCGCCCGGCCCUGUCGGCGCCGGAGUAGAGCUGGCGCCUCCCGGUCCCACCCUUCCUGUAUUAUUAAUCCAGUUUUGCGGGGCUUGCUCUUGGUGCUCGGGAGCUUUUCUCCCUGAGCGCGGCUGGUCUCAGGUGUCAGAGCGCUGUGCAGGAAAAAUCAAACCACUGUGAGAGCCGGUGUAAAGCUGUGAGUUGUUACCAGUGGUGCGACAGGUGCUUUCCCGGCCCUCCGUCUCCCACCCCCAGCCUGAGACGGCUCUGGGGAGUCCUGGUGGGAGAUGGGCAUGUGGUGAUAAUACCCGUGGCAGACGUGUUCCUCAGGGUCAUGGCCACAACGUCCAGGGUGUGUUUUACAGCCUUGCCUUCAGAUGUUGUCAUGCCAAGGUUCAAAGUUAAUAGGUGGUUGUACCCGAGCGCCUCACGUGCAGUUAACUAUGUUCGCGCUGGUCACUACUAAGAGCCGGGUGCUCAGCUCGCAUGGUGGCCACGCCUCCGGCCUCUGGCAGCUUUUCUCAGCCACCGUCCAGAUCACAACAAACUUGUGUUUCAUAUCAUUGUCUUUUGGCUGCUGCGGACCAGUGGCUUGCAGUAUUUAUUUGCAGCGAGAUAGCUUUUAUAAGUUACCCAGGCGGGCACAAAACCGCAUUGUUUUACGUGCUGUGCAAGAGCAGAGCAAACGGUUUGUACUCCAGAAAGGCAGGUAUAAAGCUGCACAUGUGCUGAGUUUGAUAGAGGAGUGAAGAGAGCAGGAUGAAUAAUUUCCCAGUGUUUUCACCUUUUGGUUCUGAGGCUGAGUAGGAGCACACCAAGUGGUAUAUGAAUUAAGGUGACUAGUGGUAACUAGGAUCAGGGAGCCUGCUCAGACUUCCGUGCUGCUCCAAAUGCAUCAGUCUGCUUUCAACCCCCCUGGUGCUGCAUAUAAGCCUUGCAUUCUUCGCAGACCUACAUAAUGUAGCAUGUGAAAGAAACAAAUAAGGAGAGGUACAAUUAUACUCAAUUUUUGUGUGCAAACAAGAAGAAACAGUUUUGUUGCAUGGAUGUAGCACCUUAAUAUUGUUUCAGUUAUGUCAUUAUAGGCGCAAUAUCAAUAGAGCUAUCUAUAUCUGCAUUAGGGAUUUGCUCCCAUUUAAUUACAUUAAAGUGAAAUUAGGUAAUUCAGUGCUAAUGUUGUACAGGCCUUAGCAGAAAUUGCCUACCAUCUUUUUGUGAGGCACUUGAUGCAAAAUGCUUAAGGCUUUGGUCUUUCUCCAGGGUUUUGCUUUUAUUGCUAGUAAAACGAUGAGUUUUAUCCCAAGUAGGCAUAUUAAAUGUCAACAGGGUUGUUGUCUCCUCUUUCUUUUAGCUGUCUUUUUGCAUGCCUUUCUCAUGUGGCUUUUGGGGGUGUUUCCAUUUUCUACCUUUUGGCUUCUCAUUUCUAUUUUCCUUUUGCCUUAAACUCCAGAUCUUUUUUCCCUCUUCUCAGAUCAAUCUGUCUAUGCAUUUUUAAUGAAUCAUUUACUGUGACAUAUGAGCACUACAGCUACUGUGUCAGGGACUUAAGCAUCUGCGGAGAGCUUCUGUGCCGGGAUAGCAGCAGCGAGAUGAAAUGGAUGUGAUCUUAGUUUCAUCCUUUUUUGUUCACGUGGGAUGGUACUUUGCCUAGAGGCAGCACAAAUAUAACUUUCCUUCUAGGGAAGAAUGAGAAGAAUCAAAACCCAGAGAUGUCUCAUUUUUCUCUUCAGAGCACUGCUAUGAAUAGAGGAUUUAAGCUGUGUCUCUGCUAUUCCACACUUAACCACUGAGUCAAUACUGUUCUUGUAGAAACACCAUUGUAGGUAAGAAGCUAUUGUGCAGCACUCAUUCAUAUUAUCUAUGCAAGCAUUUUUAAAAUGUAGAAUGGGAAACAUGGGGUUUGUAAUAUCAGGAGUAACAUCAACAGAUAGAAUCCUUGUCAUUAUCCCAUUUAUCUUCCCUUAUGGUCCGAGUAAUUCUUGCUUUGAAGUUGCGAAGGAAAGAGGACCACUUUCAGACACCAUCUUUACAUAACCAAAACAAAAGUGACUAAAGAGGCAAGAAAUGUAUCUCUUUCAGGGAGUUCUUCCUUACCAGUCAGCUGGCAGAAAGUGCAGAUACUGGAGGGCAACCUAAUUAAAAAAAAAAAAAAAAGUAAAUAACUGACUUAAAGUUAUUUUUGAUUUCACAAGAGUAUGCAUAAUUUAUGUGAAACUCAUAAUGUUUUAAAAGAGUUUUAGUAUAAGUUUUCAGUUUUAGUGCUGUAGACAGAUAAUAAAAUCAUUUGCCUCUGGUAUGCUUUUGGAUUGGGUCAAUAUAUACGUCAGUCAAAGUUUUCUCCUUUUAAGUUUGUAAUUAAACAUAAAUGUUACUUGCAGCUGUUGGGUCCAGCUGAUAUCCACAAAGACAAAGUAAAGUACAUGCUGAAAUCAUAGCCUGAUUUUGGAUUUGGGUAUUUUGGUUUGGCUAAAGUGCGCUCAUUUUAUCCAUAUAUAUUAUGUAUAUAUAUUAUGUGAGCAGUACUAAUAACUACAAAUGAAUAGGAUUUGGCCUGUAUCAUGUUAUGCAAAGCUAUUUCUAUAGCGAGUCUGUGUGUGUGACAAAUUCCUUUUUAAUAUAAUCACAUGGACCUUGUAGACCCACACUAAGUUGAAUGUUUCCCUGCUUCAAGUUUAAAAACAAACACAUAGAUAUAAAAUUUUACAGAAGCUAACACUUAAAUACAAUCUUCAUCAAGUAAUUUCCUUUAAAGGCUACAUUUAUACCAAUGAUUAUUUUUCUUUUUCUGACCUGCUAUCCAUUUUUUCUUAAAAUAUUUGUGCAGAGAAGCGAAAAUAUCUACCCUAUUUUCUUGGAGGACAAAGUGAUGUUUCUUUCUAGGAUUUGCACUGACUUGUCAGAAAUGAUCAUCCAGCUAGAGCUUCCAGUUGCUUUCAGACACUACAUUGUCUCUUAGAGGCAGUUUGUUGUGUCACAGUUUUUUAUUACUAUGGCAUUUAUCAUGUAUGGUUUCAUACAUAUUUCACAGUAAAAUUAAUUUUUCUAGA
Long non-coding RNA from Neopsephotus bourkii (Bourke's parrot), 3246 nucleotides. RefSeq lists it as uncharacterized. The transcript has 2 exons. The record is from RefSeq and is a predicted model, not a curated record. NCBI's taxonomy places the organism in Eukaryota, Metazoa, Chordata, Aves, Psittaciformes, Psittacidae.